CGGGUCUGAGAGGAUGAUCCGUCACACUGGAACUGAGACACGGUCCAGACUCCUACGGGAGGCAGCAGUGGGGAAUCUUGCGCAAUGGGAGCAAUCCUGACGCAGCAACGCCGCGUGGGUGAUGAAGGUCUUCGGAUCGUAAAGCCCUGUCGGAGGGGGAGAUGCUUGUAACGUCUAAUAGAUGAGACAGGUGACGGUACCCUCAAAGGAAGCACCGGCUAACUCUGUGCCAGCAGCCGCGGUAAUACAGAGGGUGCAAGCGUUGUUCGGAAUUAUUGGGCGUAAAGGGAGUGUAGGCGGUUUGAAAAGUCUUCUGUGAAAUCUACGGGCUUAGCCUGUAAAGUGCAGAGGAUACUAUCAGGCUUGAGUAUCGGAGAGGAUAGGGGAAUACCCAGUGUAGAGGUGAAAUUCGUAGAGAUUGGGUGGAACACCAGUAGCGAAGGCGCCUAUCUGGCCGAUAACUGACGCUGAGACUCGAAAGCAUGGGGAGCAUACAGGAUUAGAUACCCUGGUAGUCCAUGCCGUAAACGAUGAUAGCUAGAUGUGUGAGGUAUUGACCCCUUACGUGUCGAAGUCAACACGAUAAGCUAUCCGCCUGGGGAGUACGGUCGCAAGAUUAAAACUCAAAGGAAUUAACGGGGGCCCGCACAAGCGGUGGAGCAUGUGGUUUAAUUCGACUACGCGAAGAACCUUACCUAGGCUUGACAUGUAUAGAAGUCCUUAGAAAUUUGGAUGUGCUCGCAAGAGAGCUAUAACACAGGUGCUGCAUGGCUGUCGUCAGCUCGUGUCGUGAGAUGUUGGGUUAAGUCCCGCAACGAGCGCAACCCUUGUCGUUAGUUGCCAGCAUUUAGUUGGGAACUCUAACGAGACUGCCGUGGUUAACACGGAGGAAGGUGGGGAUGACGUCAAGUCCUCAUGGCCUUUAUGCUUAGGGCUACACACGUGCUACAAUGCAUUCUACAGAGGGCUGCGAAGCCGCGAGGUGAAGCCAAUCCCACAAAAGAAUGCUCAGUUCUGAUUGGAGUCUGCAACUCGACUCCAUGAAGCUGGAAUCGCUAGUAAUCGCGGAUCAGCACGCCGCGGUGAAUACGUUCCCGGGCCUUGUACACACCGCCCGUCACACCAUGGGAGUUGAUUGCUCCAGAAGUGGCAGACUUGUUUUGCCCCUAAGGAGUGCUCAAUGACUGGGGUGAAGUCGUAACAAGGUA
This 1208-nucleotide ribosomal RNA is filed under the name metagenome. RNAcentral describes it as "bacterial SSU rRNA". It matches the Rfam family "Bacterial small subunit ribosomal RNA", at positions 287 to 1498 of the family's 1533-position model. The record is from RNAcentral.